UAAAGCGUCUGUAGGUUGCCUAACAAGUCUGUUGUUAAAGGUCAAAGCUUAACUUUAAAACUGCAGCAGAAACUGCUAGGCUUGAGUACAGUCGAAGUAGAGGGAAUUUCCAGUGAAGCGGUGAAAUGCGUAGAUAUUGGAAGGAACACCAAUGGCGAAAGCACUCUACUAGACUUUUACUGACACUCAAAGACGAAAGCUAGGGUAGCAAAUGGGAUUAGAUACCCCAGUAGUCCUAGCCGUAAACGAUGGAUACUAAACAUUGCGUGCAUCGAUCCGCGUGGUGUUAUAGCUAACGCGUUAAGUAUCCCGCCUGGGGAGUAUGCUCACAAGGGUGAAACUCAAAGGAAUUGACGGGGGCCCGCACAAGCGGUGGAGCAUGUGGUUUAAUUUGAUGCAACGCAAAUAACCUUACCAGGGUUUGACAUGGUGUUAAUUCUUUGAAAAAAAAACUACCGUUCGCGGUACACACACACAGGUGGUGCAUGGCUGUCGUCACCUCGUGUCUUGAGAUGUUGGGUUAAGUCCCGCAACGAGCGCAACCCCUGUUUUUAGUUACAAGUAAUCUAAAAAGACUAUCGGUUAUAAACCGGAGGAAGGUGGGGACGACG
This 611-nucleotide ribosomal RNA is filed under the name uncultured marine pelagophyte. Its description in RNAcentral is "bacterial SSU rRNA". It matches the Rfam family "Bacterial small subunit ribosomal RNA", at positions 561 to 1184 of the family's 1533-position model. Lineage: Eukaryota; Pelagophyceae. The record is from RNAcentral.